GAUGAAGAACGCAGCGAAAUGCGAUAAGUAAUGUGAAUUGCAGAAUUCAGUGAACCAUCGAAUCUUUGAACGCACAUUGCGCCCGGCAGUAAUCUGCCGGGCAUGCCUGUCCGAGCGUCAUUUCUGCCCUCAAGCACGGCUUGUGUGUUGGGCCCCGUCCUCCGAUCCCGGGGGACGGGCCCGAAAGGCAGCGGCGGCACCGCGUCCGGUCCUCGAGCGUAUGGGGCUUUGUCACCCGCUCUGUAGGCCCGGCCGGCGCUUGCCGAUCAACCCAAAUUUUUAUCCAGGUUGACCUCGGAUCAGGUAGGGAUACCCGCUGAACUUAAGCAUAUCAAUAAGCGGAGGA
This 346-nucleotide unclassified non-coding RNA is filed under the name soil metagenome. Its description in RNAcentral is "partial contains 5.8S ribosomal RNA, internal transcribed spacer 2, and large subunit ribosomal RNA". The stretch from base 1 to 120 matches the Rfam family "5.8S ribosomal RNA", at positions 35 to 154 of the family's 154-position model. The record is from RNAcentral.